Molecule: long non-coding RNA, 1131 nt
Filed under: Nothobranchius furzeri (turquoise killifish)
Lineage: Eukaryota; Metazoa; Chordata; Actinopteri; Cyprinodontiformes; Nothobranchiidae
Description: lncRNA (ENSNFUG00015010118.1)
Source: RNAcentral
UCAGAGGGUAGAAGAAUGUCGGAGGAGUUGGAAGUGGAAAACAGCAGGAUUUGGAGUCUUACUGAUUAAUUUUCAUGACAUGACCCCUCAUCUCUGAUUGGCUAAGAGCAACACGCCUCUUCUGCCACCUUUGUUCGCUCUCAUUUCUCGGGUAAAAAAGUUGCAAUGCUAAUAUUUUUUCUCCACAAGUAACAGAAGCCUGAAUGAGUUCCACCAUGCUGCUGAUGCUAGCGCUUAGCCUCUACUAGCCGAGACGCGCUCUGCUCUCUCCUGGCUACAAAAUCAACACAGCCUUCCACGGGCCCAAGUCAAGGUGCGGGAGUCCAUGAAUGCAAGUCUUCCCUUUGAUGUGGAAGAGCCUGGCUUUCGCUGACCCGAUCAUUUCCUCAUCUUUUUAGGAUGAGAAUAUUUUUACAUUCGCUAUGCAUGCAUGCACAACUCGGAGUGAUUUCAAGAAGAACAAGUAUUACACAUUUCUCAGUGAUGGAGGCCUUUAAGGUCUCCCAGCUACACUAACAGUAGAAAACUGCAGCGAUAUAUUUGUGGCACACAUCAUAGUAAAAAUACAGCUCAUAAUUAAUAUUGUGAAUGAGCUUUUCAACUCAGGCUCAGAAAAUACGUUUUUGUUUCUCCUUGUUUUAAUGCUUCCCCUCUGGUGUCACAGAAAGUAAAACCAACUGGAAUGCAACAAAUGUGUCUCUAUUAUGGCAUCAAAUCGACACACUUUCUCUCCUCUGUGGUGUGUGUGUGUGUGUGCGUGUGUGUGUGUGUGUGUGUGUGUGUGUGUGUGUGUGUGUGUGUGUGUGUGUGUGUGAGAGAGAGAGAAUCUAUGGUGUGAACCAGUUGUUAGUAGCUGGCCUACGACUUUCUGCCUCUCUGUCCUGUUUGCUCCGGUUGGAAGACGCCCAAAACCACACCCCCUUCACGUGGUCAGACACACACACGUUCGCUGUGUGUGUGUGUGUGUUUGUGUGGUUUUUAUGCAGUGUCUGUUUACGAACACAUUUGACUAUCGCGGAAUUGUAUUUUGAAAUGCUUUAUUUUGUUAAAUUUACCAGCCUGCCUCUUAUGUCUAGGUUUGACUUCCUGCCAGAAUUGACGCGGUCCACCCACGGCUUGCGAAAAAAAUAG